This 1022-nucleotide long non-coding RNA is filed under the name Chrysemys picta bellii (western painted turtle). RNAcentral's name for it is "lncRNA (ENSCPBG00000002233.1)". The record is from RNAcentral. Lineage: Eukaryota; Metazoa; Chordata; Testudines; Emydidae.
AUGCUUCCUUCACUGUGCACUCUUGUCCUGCUCCUCUGGGAUAGUCACUUUAAGCUGCCCUCCUGCCGAGCAACAUUGGAGUUCAGUCUGCCCCACACGCAUGGACCCACUGCCAAGCUAUAGGCUCACUCUCAAUUGACAAGUGCUACGGGUCUCUUAAGUUGGCAAACUUUCCUGGUAAUCGAGGGGUGCUAAUUUUAGAGUACUUUAAAAAUGGGUUUUGAAGGCUGAAUGCUGUAGAGUCCCACAAAGGAAACUGAAUGGGACGUUGUCAUGGUUAGAGGGUGAACUGUGCUUUCGACUCUUUUGCAACCGCCUUUCCAGUGCACCCCUCGGAUGACAGACUUAGCUUCCUUCCUUCAAGGUGGAACCCCAUGGUUCAACCACUCUCACACUGGACCUCUGGUUUCCCAGCCAUGUUAACGUAACAGACCUAACUAUAUUUGGCACCAGUGAGAAACUUCCCUCCGGGACAUGUGGCCAGCAGCUGGUUAAAGUGAUACAAAAGAGUUCUAAAAAGAAACGUGAUGUUUGUUCACCCAAAGGUACGUAGCCAUCAAAGGAGAGGGUUAAAACAAACGCCUGCACAUCUGGUCUGACAUAAACUUCACGCUUUCCUUGCUAGUUCAGGAAGCUUCUACUUAACCCAGAUACUGCUACCUGUGGGCUGAGAGACACACUGUCCUCCUGCAGUCGUUGCCUGUCUCUCUCCUGCAUCAGCUCCCUGCUGCUGCCAACUCACUCCCCCUCCCUUCCUCUCUAGACAAGGGCUUUUAACUACUUAAUGUCCUUUUGAUUUUAGGCCCCAGCCCUGGAAAACAUGCCCUGCCUGGAACCAGGCAGGAGGGCAUUUCUCAAUUAAUAGCCCACUCAUUUUUCUCUUAAGGACCCUUGGUAUUUUCUCUGGAGAUAAAUUAUCUCUAGACAUCAUUUUGUUUCCUGCUUGCUCUUACUAACAGCCCCUUCUUAUUUAACUCUAUGCAGGCAGACAGAAUAAAAUCAAGCAAGUAAACUGAGGUACA